AACGAACGCUGGCGGCGGUGCUAACACAUGCAAGUCGAAACGCGAAAGGGACUUCGGGUCCUGAGUAAAGUGGCGCACGGGUGAGUAACGCGUAGAUAACCUGUCUUCAUGUCUGGAAUAAUACGCCGAAAGGGGUACUAAUACCGGAUAUUCUUGCUUUUCAUAAGUUAUGCAAGCAAAGGUGGCCUCUGCAUAUGCUACUGCAUGAAGAGGGGUCUGCGUACCAUUAGCUAGUAGGUGGGGUAAUGGCCUACCUAGGCGACGAUGGUUAGCGGGUCUGAGAGGAUGAUCCGCCACACUGGCACUGGAACACGGGCCAGACUCCUACGGGAGGCAGCAGUGAGGAAUAUUGCGCAAUGGGGGAAACCCUGACGCAGCGACGCCGCGUGAGUGAAGGAAGGCCUUCGGGUCGUAAAGCUCUGUCAAGAGGAAAGAAGUGUACAAUGGCUAAUACCUGUUGUAUUUGACGGUACCUCUAAAGGAAGCACCGGCUAACUCCGUGCCAGCCGCAGC
RNAcentral lists this ribosomal RNA (513 nucleotides) under uncultured bacterium. RNAcentral's name for it is "bacterial SSU rRNA". It matches the Rfam family "Bacterial small subunit ribosomal RNA", at positions 29 to 518 of the family's 1533-position model. The record is from RNAcentral.